GAAUGACAGUGUAAUGUGAAAUUAAUUCCAACACUCACCAACAGUCAAACGAAAGUCAUGAUUGAUGGAAUUGACUGACCAGGGCAGUUAUGAUUUUUU
Long non-coding RNA from Aricia agestis (brown argus), 99 nucleotides. RefSeq lists it as uncharacterized. Lineage: Eukaryota; Metazoa; Arthropoda; Insecta; Lepidoptera; Lycaenidae. The record is from RefSeq and is a predicted model, not a curated record. The transcript has 3 exons.